AUAAGUUUUUAAUAUACUUGAGGUGAGGUGACGUAUUUCCUUUAUUGAAACCCUAAUUUUUCCAUUUUGUUAAUGGAGCUUGUUGUCGAAUUCCCCUCAAAGCUUGCUACCCAGCAAAUUUUGUUGAAUGCCUACUCUGUAACUAUGGAUGAUUCAAAAUCCUAAUACAUUGCAUGAAUGCAAUCCCUUAAUUGAAUCUUUAAUCCCUUUUUGUGAACUCACAAUCCUUCGUGUGAAGUCUCAAUCCCUUCCAUUAACCCUUAAUCCCUUCCGCGAAGCCAAAAUCUCAAGCAAGGUUGAGAGUUUAUGUUAUUAGCUCCAGGUAUUGCGACGGAGAAGUAUUUGGAGGCGUUAAAGUUUCCGAUUUGGGCUCUGGUUGUUCGUGAAGGGGGUUGAAAUUUCUUCCCCAACUGGUUACUUGCCUGGCUGUAGUAGUAGAUUCAAUGUGUUAUUUUAUAAAUAUAUUAUUUCAAUUAGCACAAAAAAUGAAGAUUGCUCUGCAGAUUUUUUAUAAUUUGUAUGUUUGAGUUCCAAAUAGAAGUUAUUUAUGGUAAUGUGUAUGUUGCUCUGAAGUAGAAGCUAGUUGCUGUAAUGUAUUUGAUUUGUGAAGUUUAGUUAGCUGAAAUUGUGAAAUGGUAUUUAUUUUUAUUUUACCUCUUUCCAGUAAGGUUUAUUAUCUGUAUAUGAGGGACUGUUUCUCUUCCAUCUUGUAGGGCAACAGAAUCUUUACAUUUGAUCAAUUCCAACAACACCACUCCUAUAAACGUCGAUUUUGGUAGUGACCAUCCCUGCUCCUAGAUAUUCUGGAGCCACAUAACCGCUCGACACACCUGAAAAGGCACAACUUGAAGUUCUUUUCCUUUGUGAUUCUUCAGCAAGAGCAAAAUUUGUAAGAAUCCUUUUUUUUUUUCCUUUGAUUCCAUAUAUGUUGCCAUUUCUGCUUUCAAAUCAAGUUCUAUGACUCGUAAGUUGGUGUUGGUGGACUCAUGCUCCAUGAACAAUACAUAUAUUAAAAAAUUUGAUGGUAUAGGGUUAUAUGAUGUUUUAUUCAUCAGAAUACUAUAGGUAAACAAUUGACAAAAAGUUGGUGAAAGGUACGAAGGUUUAAUUUCGGAUGACAUAUAGGUAAUUAGUUAAUAAAACUUCAGAGUAAGAUACCUACCUAUCCCAGAGACCUUCAAUUCUAUACAUAAUCAUUUUGGAUUGUGAAUCAAAGAUCUUCCCUUUUAUCAGUCUCCGAUUUGUCCCAAACCCAAAGAAAGAUUGGCUUAUGUAGCUUAAUACUGCCAAAAGGCCUUUUUCUGUGAACCGGAUAGUGACAUUGCCAACUCAAUCAACCACAGGGACUGCAAAAAUUCUGACAAUGAUAUUGGAAAUUUAGAAGAAUUCAUUUCAUUUGUCUCUCCAUCACUUGGAGCUUCAGCUGCCGUUUUCCAUGAGCUUCUACUGAAAUGCCUCCAUGAUUGGUUUUGUUAUUUACAAGUCUUUUUUUUAAUAAUUUGAAUUCAAUUUUUUUUUUUACCAAAAAACAUUGGAACAUUAAUCAUGACCUAGAGGAAUUUAAGCAAAAAUUAAGAAUGACAAAAGAUUUCCAUAUGUCGAAGAUCUUAAAUUACCAGUGAAUUUUGGAAUAGUAGAGUUGCACCAUAUAAUUUGUUUGUUCUCCUUAUAAUCGGUUGCAUGGAGAGCACACAACGGAGGGUGAUGUGAAACCUUAGAACAAAACAUGUGUAUGCCUAUCUUAAUUAGGUCGUUCCAAAUAAUGUCUCCCAUUGUGACCAGCCAGGCACUCCUCGCGACUAUGUCACAAUAAUCCCUAGCAGCCAUGCUAAUAUUUGAAUAUACAACUUUGUAUGAUGUGUGGUAUUAUUAAUUUGUCCUUUUUCGGGUAAAUAAAAAAGAACCAACCUAAAAUUGUAGUGCAACUUUUAUUUUGAUUCCCUUUUGUAAAUGAAAUUGUUAUUUGUUUCUGACUAAUUUUGUAUGAUGUAUAAUAUGCUUGAUUCUUUUGUAUACAAUGUGAUUGUCAGAAAAUCCUCUAGCCACCAGUUCUCAGGUUUCAUUUGCUAAAAUAUGGAUUUAGACCUAACUACCGGGUAUUGGUUCAUCAUGGUGAAGAAGGAUCUAGUAUGGAGAACUUAGGUUAAAUAAUUUAAUUUGUUUCUUUUAAUUCUUCUACUUUAACAUGGGUGAAGCAGAUAUUACUUUAGUGUUGAUUAAGUCAAUAUUACCUUUAAUUCAUAUUAUAUUACUUUUCUGUUUAGAGUGGAGGAGCUUCAAUUGAUGCAAUUAAAAUUUAGUUAAAAUUAUAUAUUAAAAAAGAUCUAAGACUCGAAUCAACAUAAUUAAAACCUGAAAAACUAAAAUCAUAACAAAAAAAGAUGCAGUCAAUCCAGAAAGUUAUUAUUAUAACAAUUUUUUGGAUGGGCCAUUAUAUUAAACAUUAAUUUAUUUUUUCGUUUGUAUAGUUACAAUUUUUUGAAACUUUUAUAUUUAGAUAUAUGUCUCCUUUCAAUGUGUAUGAUUACUUUAUUUGUAAGUUCAAAGGAAAAGUAUCAUUGCAUGUGCAUUGAUGAUCAUAAUUGCUUGAGGUGUAAACAUUAACCUAAAGAAAAAAGGUUUAUUAUUUUACACAUUCUUAUUAUUAGCAUUUGAUCACAUUGAAUAAUUAAAAUUUAUUCAAAAAUAAAAUAUUAAUGUAUUUUUAAUAUCUUUAAAUAAGAUUCUUUAUUAAGAUUUAUGGGGGUAUAUUUUCUGU
Molecule: long non-coding RNA, 2758 nt
Filed under: Vigna radiata
Lineage: Eukaryota; Viridiplantae; Streptophyta; Magnoliopsida; Fabales; Fabaceae
Description: long non-coding RNA (VRAD_LNC003273)
Source: RNAcentral